UGGCGACGGGUGAGUAACGCGUGGAAAACCUGCCGUAUACUGGGGGAUAACACUUAGAAAUAGGUGCUAAUACCGCAUAAGCUCACAGCUUCGCAUGAAGCGGUGUGAAAAACUCUGGUGGUAUACGAUGGUUCCGCGUCUGAUUAGCUAGUUGGUGGGGUAAUGGCCUACCAAGGCAACGAUCAGUAGCCGGCCUGAGAGGGUGAACGGCCACAUUGGGACUGAGACACGGCCCAAACUCCUACGGAAGGCAGCAG
RNAcentral lists this ribosomal RNA (257 nucleotides) under uncultured bacterium. RNAcentral describes it as "partial 16S ribosomal RNA". It matches the Rfam family "Bacterial small subunit ribosomal RNA", at positions 96 to 354 of the family's 1533-position model. The record is from RNAcentral.